Molecule: unclassified non-coding RNA, 338 nt
Filed under: Hevea brasiliensis (rubber tree)
Lineage: Eukaryota; Viridiplantae; Streptophyta; Magnoliopsida; Malpighiales; Euphorbiaceae
Source: RNAcentral
UCCUUGCGCGUUUCCUCCGAGACUGAAAAACAGAUAUAUGUCUAAAAAUGGGAGAUCUAAACAACAUGUACAUUUACAUCCCAAAGAAAUGGGGUACCCAGAUAAGACAAUGAAAUUCCUGUUGUAAUAAAGAAUGAACACAACAUUCUUUCAUAUGGGCAAAGAAAUCAGAUUCAUCUAUUUUCCCCUCCAUGCGUAGUGAAUGAGUGGCAAAAGCACAUGCUAAUACCAUUCAAUUUCUGUAAACAGAGCAGCUUAGUUAUUUUUACAUGUUUUAUCACAGGAAGAAGGAUGGAAAUUAGAAACCAAUGGCAGGUAUCCAAUACCAUAAAAGCCUG